AGCAGCGGGAUUUUAAUAGCGCUUUGUUAUUGUCCAUUACGGCAGAGUCGGAGGGGAGGAGGGAGGAGAGAGGAUGGAAUUGGGACGGAAAUAACGUAGCUGUGCUGCAGUAAUCCCAUCGCGACGUUGUGCAUCGUCGUGUUAUUCUCGAAGAAUGUCUACUAAUACUAAGAGAAAGAGUUUGUCGCCAUGGGUAGAGUGUGUCAAGUGUAAAUGCGCUCUGGCCCAAAAAGAUGUUUCCCUGCACAAAGCAAGCUGCCCACCAGCUAUAGAAAAUUGGGAUCACCCUUUUGUCCUCAAUGGAGUUUUGUACAGCACAAUAGAAGUCUUUCAAAAACAAGAAUUACCUACACGCAUUUCUGAGAGGGAUGCUAAUGAUAUGGUAUUUGUGUCACAGUCCACUAUGCAGUUAUGCGAGAUUGCGCUUGGAUCGCCGGCUGUCAUCACGACAAAAGACGAGGUGGUUGUCAAAACGGCCUGGCCGACAAACGACAAAAGUCUGACAAGUGUCACUUUAACAAAAUAUGCUAUUGAACUAAACAAUCUGUCAGGGUUAGUCAAAGUAUGUUCCUUGCCAUCUGAUACCCAGAUUGCAAAGGAAAUUGUAGUUAGUCAGCAAGGCAAACGUUUAAUAUCUGAAAUAAGCGUGGAAUUGGACAACAUCUUAAAAUAUUUUAAUGAGCACAAGAUUUUCACUGUUGGCAAUAGGAUAAGCAUACCAUAUUAUGGCAAGAAAUUGGUGUAUAAAAUUGUUGAAAUCAAGAUGGAAGAAAACCAGAGGAAUCAUACCAAAAUGAUGGAUGUAAACGAUCUAUCAAAAGAUUUGGAAGAUAUAAAUCUAACAACUUCUUCCACAAAAGUGAACUUUUAUAAAGCACUGUAUACAACGAAAUGGACAAUCUUAAAUAUUACGAACAAAAGUAAAGAGAACGUUCCAAGAAGACAGUAUAAGGUCGAUGAUAUCGGCGGAUACAAUGAUCUCAUAACCGACAUAAGAGACAUAGUUGCAAUAGGCAUUGGCAAGUACAGGAGCAUCGAGCACUUCAACGUCAGCAAAGGGAUAUUAUUGUACGGUCCUUCUGGCGUUGGUAAAUCGAUGAUAGCGAACGCCGUAAUCUCGGAAUGUAACGUCGAGAGGUUUACCAUGUACAGUUCGGACAUUUACAGCAAGUCCGUCGGUGAAACGGAAGGCAAGCUCAAAGAGGUGUUCACCAAAGCGAUAUCGAGCGCCCCGAGUAUAAUACUGUUGGAGGACGUGGACAGCUUGUGCCCUAGGAGAACCAGUUCCAGCACGGAUCACGAGAAGAGAGUGUUGACUCAGCUAGUAACACUUUUCGACGAUCUGCAAGGCAUCAGCAGUAAUGUGCUGGUAGUCGCCACCACCGCAAAGCCGGAUCUCGUGGACGGUUCUCUGAGGAGACCCGGCAGACUGGACAUGGAGUUCGAGAUCUACGUACCGACCCCGAACAUACGUAUCGAGAUAUUGGCGAAGUUGCUCUCAAAGAUUCCCAAUACACUUACGGACGAGGACGUGGAGGGUAUCUCGUUCGUUACUCACGGCUUCGUUGGCGCGGAUCUGUACGGUUUAUGCUCCAGAGCGAUAAUGAACGCAGUGAAACGUCACCAGAAGGACAGAAUCCCAUCCGACAAGGAACCGAAGGUGACGAUAACCGACUUUCAUUAUGCCUUGACCGUGACAAAGCCGUCGGCCAUGAAAGAAGUUUUAGUAGAAGUACCGAAUGUGAGAUGGUCAGACAUAGGCGGGCAAAGAGACCUCAAGCUGAAAUUAAAACAAGCCGUCGAGUGGCCGCUGACGCAUCCCGAUUCGUUCCUGAGAUUGGGCAUUACGCCUCCUAGGGGCGUCUUGAUGUUUGGACCACCGGGAUGCUCGAAAACUAUGAUCGCGAAAGCUCUCGCCACCGAGAGUAAAGUCAAUUUUCUGAAUAUCAGAGGCCCGGAGCUGUUUUCGAAAUGGGUGGGCGAAUCUGAGAAGGCCGUGAGAGAAGUAUUUCGAAAAGCGAGACAGGUCGCGCCGUCCAUCAUAUUCAUCGAUGAGAUAGACGCACUCGGUGGUGAAAGAGGCUCGUCUUCCGGUGGUAGCGGCAGCAACGUGCAGGAACGAGUGUUAGCUCAGUUACUGACGGAACUCGAUGGUAUCACCGCUCUGGGUAGCGUCACACUCGUAGCGGCUACUAAUCGCCCGGACAAAAUUGACAAAGCACUCCUCCGACCUGGACGAUUAGAUCGAAUUAUAUACGUGGGGCUGCCGGACAAGGAGACCAGACAAGAGAUAUUCGACAUAAAAUUGCGAAAUAUGCCGGUCGCGAAGGACAUAAAUAUCGCGGAUCUGAUCAGCCGAACGGAAGGCUACACCGGCGCGGAAAUUCAAGCGGUAUGCCAUGAGGCUGCCAUGAAAGCGUUGGAGGAGGACCUUGAUGCCGCUGUCGUUACCAAAGAUCAUUUCAUCGCCGCAUUUAGAGUUAUCGCUCCUAGAACGCCCAAGUCCCUCAUCGAAAUUUACGAGGACUACAUGAAUAAUAAAGUUUUAUGAGAAUUACAUAAGAAUACGUAUAAGUGUGUUUUCCAUUGCGAGAACAGGCAUCGAGUAAUCCUUGAGAUAUUAAAUCUUUUUGUGAUUAUCUCCCUGAUCUUUUUUUAGUAGCAAAGAAACGAGGAGGAACGAGUCUGACGAGUAUGUAUUUAUAAAUUCUCUCGAAAACAAAAUAAUUGAUUAAAAUUUAACAUUUAAGAUGUUUACGAAAUAUCGACUUAUACUUGACUGCAGGGACUGAACAGAAUAAAAUCGAGAACAAGAUCGGUCAAAUUAUGAUCGCAGAAUUUUUUUUUAAUUUGUUGAUCGAUCAAUCUGCGAAAACGUGAACAACUUUACUCUGUUAAAAGUUAUAUAUUAGCGCAUAAUGCAACCGAUCAAAUCAAUAAAUUAGGAAACUCGCUUAAUACAUUCAAAACAUUGUAUAAUAAGCUACUGAUGACGUGGACUCGGACGCGGUUCUCCGUCUACGGCCCAGUUACGGUAGCCGAUAGUAAUAAUAAUAACGACGAGUUUUAUUAUGACAAAUAAAUGGAAAUAUAUGUCAAGGGCGGUCCUCUUCCAAUCCUCUCGCCAUGCGGGAGGAUUAACCCGUUUCUUUCCGUGACGUUGGCCGCGCGAUCGCGGGCGGGACGGCGAUAGUGCAAUACGAUUUAACUGGGCGCGAUAAUCGAAGAAAGUUACCUCUCGAGUUUCGCGCACGCAAGAGAGACAGAGAGAGAGACGAUUGCGUUAAUUAUUAACCAGCUCAGUCGUUAUUGCGUCCCGCGUUACACGUUGACGGAACGGAAGAGAGCUAUGCGCUUGACGAGGAAGCUGCACGUUCGUCGGUAAAAAGCAGGAAGGCACAAGGCAAUCGCCGAUAACGCGAACGGGUUCCAUCAGUGACGACGUUCUUAGGAUCGUCGAUUUGUGCCAUGAGACGUCGCUCUUCGGCGCCGAGGAAGGAGAGCAGCGUUCAUCUCACAAGAUUACCGUGUUGACAAAUUUCCCUUCGAACGGGAUAACCUCGCACGAAGGAGUACGAUUCUUACUUUGCAGCCUUAGCUCUAUCCACCACGUACGCUUAUUUCGUUUCUUGCCCUUCCUGAUUGCGUUUGACAAUUAGCGAACGUCAUUGCGGAACGUCGUUGUGAAAUGUGUAAAAAAAAAAAAA
This 3707-nucleotide unclassified non-coding RNA is filed under the name Monomorium pharaonis (pharaoh ant). RNAcentral's name for it is "aTPase family protein 2 homolog, transcript variant X2". The record is from RNAcentral. Lineage: Eukaryota; Metazoa; Arthropoda; Insecta; Hymenoptera; Formicidae.